GACGAACGCUGGCGGUGUGCUUAACACAUGCAAGUCGAACGGUAAGGCCCUUUCGGGGGUACCCGAGUGGCGAACGGGUGAGUAACACGUGAGUAACCUGCCCUCAUCUCUGGGAUAACAGUCGGAAACGGUUGCUAAUACUGGUUAUGCGCUUGCAAGGCAUCUUGUGGGUUGGAAAGAUUUUUUUGGUUGGGGCGGGACUCGCGGCCUAUCAGCUUGUUGGUGAGGUAGUGGCUCACCAAGGCUUCGACGGGUAGCCGGCCUGAGAGGGGGACCGGCCACAUUGAGACUGAGAUACGGCCCAAACUCCUACGGGAGGCAGCAGUGGGGAAUAUUGCACCAUGGACGGAAGUCUGAUGCAGCAACGCCGCGUGCGGGAUGACGGCCUUCGGGUUGUAAACCGCUUUCAAUUGUGACGAAGCUUUUUGUGACGGUAGCAGUAGAAGAAGCACCGGCUAACUACGUG
This 466-nucleotide ribosomal RNA is filed under the name uncultured bacterium. RNAcentral describes it as "partial 16S ribosomal RNA". It matches the Rfam family "Bacterial small subunit ribosomal RNA", at positions 28 to 507 of the family's 1533-position model. The record is from RNAcentral.